RNAcentral lists this long non-coding RNA (430 nucleotides) under Setaria italica (foxtail millet). RNAcentral describes it as "long non-coding RNA (SITA_LNC004782)". Lineage: Eukaryota; Viridiplantae; Streptophyta; Magnoliopsida; Poales; Poaceae. The record is from RNAcentral.
GAAACGAAACCCUAGUGAUGCCAUCGGCCAUUCACUCGCAGUCACGCAUCGCGUUGCUCGCCUCUCAUCAACGCGCCGCCUGCCCGCCGCCACCCAUCCACCACUUCCCCACGCUAGCGCCAAGACGGAUUGAGCGCAGAGCCGCAACAUCCCUCCCGGCAGUCCGGCGCUCUAGCAGUUCGCGGAAUCGAGGGGCAAUCCAAGAGGACCCAGCUGUCCUUUUUGGCACAUGAGAGCUUCGGGACAAGCACAAGACUCUGGCUAGCCGUGGUUGACCUCCAUGGUUCCAUGAUUCCAUUGGCAUUGGAUACCCCUUCUGCUACCUCCAUGAAUUGAUAUUGUGAAUUCGUGAGAAAUCAGAAUCUAAGUUCAUUUAAAAAUUGCCUUGACACUUCUUGCUUCUUGCGGUCAAGCAAGCCUUUGUGAUUUG